Pelodiscus sinensis (Chinese soft-shelled turtle) is the source of this 2227-nucleotide non-coding RNA. Lineage: Eukaryota; Metazoa; Chordata; Testudines; Trionychidae. The record is from RefSeq and is a predicted model, not a curated record.
CCUGGAGAAAAAGAGCCGAUUCCACUGUGUUAGACAAAUAAACACAGAUCUCUGUGCUCACUGGGUUUGGAAGGCAGUGACCGAUGGCAGUUUAACAGGUCACCGGGCCCCUGCAGCUACCAUCUGCUACUGCAACCUGGGGUCCCCGGAGAGAGCCGCGGAGGAAUGCGAACCGGAACGAUGCGUAUCUGAUCCAUCCGCUCAAGGGAAGAGGAGCUUGCCCUUGUGGCCUCAGUACAGUGCAGCAGCAAGAAUGCCUCACGCCUGGUUUUAAUAAGAGACAAUCCUCUCAGCCCUGAACAUUGCAGCCGGGUCCCACAGAGAUGCACACAGCGAUGAACACGCUGAGAGAAUGAAAACUCCAGCUUUCUUUAAAAACAAAGGUUCCAGCUGCUCGGCUGGAGGAAAGUGGAAUCGCUCCCUGAAGUCGAUGGAGCUGCACCAAUUCACACCAGCUGAGACUCAGGCCUGCAGCAGAGUGUGAUGGAAUGGCAUCCAGCAACCAGGUUUUCAGUGGAAUUGGAAAGGCUGUUCUUUGGCUCCCUCAGCCACAUUCUCAUAUUUCCUUAUCCAAAAUAAACUCUUUGGAGACUGUUAUGGAUGGGUGAGAUUUGAGGGUGGCUUGAAGGCAGAUAAGCUGUAGGCACACUUAACAGGAGACCUGAAUGUCAGUGAGGCAGGCCAGGAGGAAGAGACAGGAGCCGCUGCCAAGUCCUCAAGUCUCAAGGAAUUUUAGCAACUCUCAGAAUCAGGCCCAGGAAAUACAACUUACAAACUGUGUGCUGUGCUUUCUCUCUCCUGUUGGAAUGGGGCUGAUUUCCACACAGAGACACCAGCCUGCAAGAGCCCUACACGCAGAUUAGUUCUUAUCUCUGGCAUGCAGCACUGUAGGCACAAGCUCUGUGAUGGAGUGGGGGCUGAGGUGGUCCAGGAGUGUUCUUGCUGGGGGAAGAAAAUUUAUUUGAAGAGUGAUUGGAAGACACAGAGUGUCCUGGCAGAGAGGCUCUGAAAAAACCAUCAAACCAGAAAGUUUUCUGCUGAAAAGCAACUCCCAGAGCCCUGGGAAGAAAAGGCAGGCGGGCGAUGAAGCAAGGAAUAAGCCAAUGCCAUCAGGGGGCAGGAAGUAUGAUCAGAGGAAAAUAUUUGACUGUUUGACCACUCUUGAUAAUCCGCUGACAGACUGGGCAUAGAGGCGAUACCCUUCCUUUGGCCUCACCAUGCCACUCCGCCCUGGCUGGUACUGCCCCAUGCUUUGCUGCUCUGCCUGUCCACCCCCAUACAUACACACCCAAUACUGCUCUGUAUCCAACUAGCCUCUGUACAUGAAGUGCUGCUCGGUGUUCACCCUGUCAUAGUUGAUCCAUACAACAAACUGCUUGGUACUACAUUGUAUUGCAGAAGCAUCCAGGAUCCCAGACAUAGACCAAGACCCCAUUAUGCUAGGUGCUGUACAAACACAGAACAAAAAGAGGGUCCCUAUGUAGUCAGCAGGCAUCUAUCCUUUGGGGGCUCCUAAAUGCAUCAUGGCUCUGUAGCUCUCCACAAGACAGACUUUCAAUGUUUGUCCGUCCUGUGGGGCAUGCAUUCAUCACUGAGCUGGUCUGGAUCCAGCUGCUGAAUGUGUACGCAAUGUUCUGCACCUGCUCUUCUGCGCAGAAGGCAUGCACCCCCCGUGUAUGGUCCUUCAAAAGGAGAAUUUCUAGCUUCCUAGAAAGAGACAUGUGAAACAGCUUUGCUCUGUCCCCACAGAACACAGCUACCUCAUCCAGAUAGGACAGGAAAGUGUGUCCUAUCAAUGGAUGAGCUAAAGCUCUACAAGAUGCACACCAGAGAGCAAUCCCACAUUGACAUGGGAGAAGCUAGAAAUCUCAGCCGUUUCCUCCAUCACAUUGGCCAAUUACCAACCCAGCAUCUCAAGCUUGCCCACCAACCCCUCCCCAAGCCCCAUUCUUACCCCCACCAACCUCCCCCCCAACCCCAGUCCCAGGACCAUCCACCCAACACCAUGGCUUCUUGCGAUAAACUCAACCUCAUAGUCCUUUGUGGCUGCAAAAGGUCUAUGAGGCUGGGUGAAUCCUGGCACACAGGGGUGAUUUUUGGGUUCUGGGUAGGGAAAACUGAGAACUUGGGGACUACAUGGCCACAUCCAAUGCUCUACGGCUUUCAUUAUUUGUCUUUGCAUCUAUUUCCAUGUUUGUAUUUCACAAGGUUGCAAGAUGGAGUUGGC